RNAcentral lists this ribosomal RNA (460 nucleotides) under uncultured bacterium. Its description in RNAcentral is "partial 16S ribosomal RNA". It matches the Rfam family "Bacterial small subunit ribosomal RNA", at positions 338 to 795 of the family's 1533-position model. The record is from RNAcentral.
CCUACGGGAGGCAGCAGUGAGGAAUAUUGGUCAAUGGACGAGAGUCUGAACCAGCCAAGUAGCGUGAAGGAUGACUGCCCUAUGGGUUGUAAACUUCUUUUAUAAAGGAAUAAAACGCGGCACGUGUGCCUUUUUGCAUGUACUUUAUGAAUAAGGAUCGGCUAACUCCGUGCCAGCAGCCGCGGUAAUACGGAGGAUCCGAGCGUUAUCCGGAUUUAUUGGGUUUAAAGGGUGCGUAGAUGGGUUGUUAAGUCAGUUGGGAAAGUUUGCGGCUUAACCGUAAAAUUGCAAUUGAUACUGGCAGUCUUGAGUACAGUUGAGGUAGGCGGAAUACGUGGUGUAGCGGUGAAAUGCUUAGAUAUCACGAAGAACCCCGAUAGCGAAGGCAGCUUACUAAGCUGUGACUGACAUUGAUGCACGAAAGUGUGGGUAUCAAACAGGAUUAGAUACCCCAGUAGUC